GAGAAUGUUGAAGGGGUUGUGGAUGUGGACGAGGAGGAAGAGAGUGAUGCGGAUGAAGAAGAGGUGGAGACAGCUGCUGGAGCAGCAGGACCCGCUGCCGAGGGGAUAAAUGGCCAUCAGAGCAAUGGGUAUGCGGUAGAAGAUGAUGACGAGGAUGAUGAUGAGGAUGAUGUUUAUGAGGAAGAGGAUGUGGUGGAAGUUCAUGGGGUUGGUGGGGACAGCGAUGAUGAGGAGGAUGGGGUUGAGGACGAGGAUGAUGAUGGCGAUGAUGAUGACGAUGAGGACGAAGAAGAGGUUGAUAAUGAGGAUAGAGAUGGGGAGUUUGGGGAGCCAGAGAGUACGGGGAGGUUGACCAGCACAGAAGGUGAGAUUGAUGGUCAUGAACAAGGGGAGGAAGAUGGGGAUGAUGAUGGUGAGACUGGGGAGGAAGAGCAGGUUGUUGAGGAUGAUAGAGAGUUUGAAGUUGAGGAUGAAGAUGAUGCUGAAGAGGAGGUGAGAAAUGAGAACGCAGUUUCUUAUCUUUUAUGUUGUGGUAUCAUAGAAUUUUGCAUUUUCCUAUCUUUUAUGUAUGUGCCUCUUGUUGCUGGAUUAAUGGUUUGUUUGCUGUUGUGUUUUCAGAUAAGAAGAGGACUUGACUGCUCUUAAAUUCCUUUUUCUGCUGUUAUUUCUGAUUUUUGUGCAUUGUUUUGGGUUGUACACUUUUGUCGAGAUUUUAAUUAUCUGGAUCUGGUAGACAUAUUAGGUGUUUUUUUCUGUUGUUGUUGGGGGGGGGGGGUUGUUUCGAGCAGUUGUUAUGGUUUAACAGUACUACCGAUCUCAAAUGCACUUUUACAUCAUGGAUAUUCUGUGUUAGUAUCUUUUUGCUGGUUUGCAUACUUUCUGAGUAAUUGAUGUUCUCUCCUUUCGUCCUAUCUACUUCGUGUUAAAAGGAGCUGCCUCAGAUUGUUGAGUUUUUUUUUCAUCAUCUCAAUUAUUCUUAUAAUAUUUUUAUUAUGAGAAAUGAAGGUUUUUUAGUUUGUGAAAUUAAUUUUAGGAAAUGAAGUUUGAAAAUUGUUCAAAUUACACCAUGCUCUUAAAUGAAAUAUCAUUUAGAUAUUGACAUGUUCUUGAGACUGGUUGUUUUCUCAAAAAUGCUUAAGAAAAACCCUGACUGGCAUUUGGUUCUGUGAAUAAGAUUAUUUGCAGUUUCAAUUUUGGUCUUCCUAUAUGUCUCCUUUAAAUGGUAAUCUUAAGUAUUUAUGUUCAUGAGACAUUAUAGUGCUGUUUUGUAUUUUCCUUUCAUUCAGCUGUAUUAUGUUUGUGAAUUUGCUUUUUGGUGUUUUGGUUGUUAAAAUGUAGUGAAGCCAUCAGUAAAGCAAGAUUCCACUGCCAUCUACGGUGCUUAUUUUCUGUUUUAUCUAUGGAUCUUUAUGAAAUAUUUGUUUGUUGAUGAUCUCUAAAAGAUUGGCCUAUUGUAAAUAGUCUAUGCAUGUUGAUGAUUACAUGGUGCAGGAUUGUUUGGGAGUGAUGUGCAUGGACAUAGUCUGAUUGGCUAUUUUGCUUUAAUUUUAAGACUGUCUAAUGUGUGCAGGAUUCUCUGGGAGUGAUGUGCAUGGACAUAGUCUGAUUGGCUAUUUUGCUUUAAUUUUUAGACUGUCUAAUACUAUUUCUAAGCAUUUUUUCACCAUUAUUUUUGUAGGGUUUUUCUUUUAUUUUGUGUUUUGGAAGUAUUUAUAUAAUUCUUUUAGCAUUCAGACCUUGCUUUCUUUACAUAUCAAAAUUUCUGGUACCCUGUUUUCUGUACUAACCCUCAGAGGCUUGAUGGAAUUGGCAGGAUGAAGACUGCGGCACAGGGUAUUUAGUUCAGCCAGUUGGGCAGGCUGAGGAACAUGAUGGCAGUGAUAUGGAGCCUGGUAAUGAAGAUGAUGCUGAAGAUGAGGAAGAAGUUGAAGAUGAUGAUGAAGUCCAGGAUCUGCCACCAUCUUCUUCUUCUUUACACCCCAAGAGAAAGAGAGAUGAUAGUGCUGAUGAAGAUGAGAAUGGGGAGGAUGAUGAGGAAGAUGAUGAUGUUGUUGAGUUCAGCAAGUCAUCUUCAAAGAAGCACCAUUAGCCUCUUACAAUCUAAUCUCACGGGUUAAAUAUUUUUGUUAAAAUGUCUUCUU
This 2141-nucleotide long non-coding RNA is filed under the name Citrus sinensis (sweet orange). RNAcentral's name for it is "long non-coding RNA (CSIN_LNC000438)". The record is from RNAcentral. Lineage: Eukaryota; Viridiplantae; Streptophyta; Magnoliopsida; Sapindales; Rutaceae.